AGGGUUGGUGACUUGAGCAAGGUGCAUCAGCUGCCAGGUUUCCAGAAGUUCCCUAGUCAUUGGGCAUUUCUGAGACUCUUGAUGCAUAUGCCAAGUAGUUAUGGAGAAAGACAUAGCCGCUUACCUCUGCAGGCAUCAUUGUGUGAAAGGAAGACCGAGGCUGUCUCACCACCCUUGAAGAGAAGCCUUUUGCUAAGGUGAUAGCUGCAUGUCCAAGCCUAUUGCGUGGCAUGGAUUUUGCCUUCUACAGCCCACUAAAGGAAAUUGAGGUGUACGGAAUGCUUAUUUGGUUGACUCAGUAUCAUCCUAAAUGUAUGAACUAAUGUUUAGGAGUUUGCAGUUCACCCGCAAACCUCAGCGAUCCAAGCUCCCCUGGAUGACCAUCACUCACCUAGAAAAGAACAAUAACAGGACCUGUUUUGCUAAUCCAGGACUGUUCUCCAGCACUAACUCUAAAUAAUCCCUUCUGUUAGAGUCCACUUUCUGGAACCUGUUGCCUCCGUUUUCAACGUUUCCCAAACUUGGUCCGUUGUGUGAGUUGGCUGUUAAAAGUUCCAGCCAAACCCAGAGUUAGGAAACCAUCUGGCAAGAACUGCUCAAGAGAAUGCUUCUUGG
Molecule: long non-coding RNA, 615 nt
Filed under: Pongo abelii (Sumatran orangutan)
Lineage: Eukaryota; Metazoa; Chordata; Mammalia; Primates; Hominidae
Description: lincRNA
Source: RNAcentral